UUGAAAAUAACUGAGAUAAAACUUCACCAAAUAUCUUGUUCCCAGUCACACUGUCUCCUGAGCUUGUCUCUUGCUGAAAGCUUUUGCUUCUUGGUCUCAGUUUUGACAUCCCAGUUUUUCAGCAAGCUGGACUUGCUGAGUUCAUCGAUUUUAAUGGAGUUAUUCCAUCCUACCUAGCUGAGAUUACAGCCCAUUAGAUGAUGUGUUCUGCAGAUGGAGAGGAAUAGAAAUGAAGCCAAGAUGCAGUUGAAGCUGGGCCUGGAAUUGCUGGAAGGAGAAGGAUGAAGAAAGGGGAGAUGCCAAGAAGGAAGUAGAGCAGAAAGAGAGAAAGGAAGAUGGGAAGAAGGGAAAUCACUCCUACUGAGUUUCACUGAAUCAAAUACUAAAAGAGUGAAGGAAUAAUAAACAAUCUGUAGCAAAUGGU
Molecule: long non-coding RNA, 424 nt
Organism: Cyanistes caeruleus (blue tit)
Lineage: Eukaryota; Metazoa; Chordata; Aves; Passeriformes; Paridae
Source: RefSeq, a predicted model, not a curated record